This 496-nucleotide ribosomal RNA is filed under the name uncultured bacterium. RNAcentral describes it as "partial 16S ribosomal RNA". It matches the Rfam family "Bacterial small subunit ribosomal RNA", at positions 28 to 507 of the family's 1533-position model. The record is from RNAcentral.
GAUGAACGCUGGCGGCGUGCCUAAUACAUGCAAGUCGAGCGAACAGACGAGGAGCUUGCUCCUCUGACGUUAGCGGCGGACGGGUGAGUAACACGUGGAUAACCUACCUAUAAGACUGGGAUAACUUCGGAAACCGGAGCUAAUACCGGGUAAUAUAUUUAACCGCCUGGGUCAAUAGUGAAAGACGGUUUUGCUGUUACUUAUAGAUGGGUCCGCGCCGCAUUAGCUAGUUGGUAAGGUAACGGCUUACCAAGGCAACGAUGCGUAGCCGACCUGAGAGGGUGAUCGGCCACACUGGAACUGAGACACGGUCCAGACUCCUACGGGAGGCAGCAGUAGGGAAUCUUCCGCAAUGGGCGAAAGCCUGACGGAGCAACGCCGCGUGAGUGAUGAAGGUCUUCGGAUCGUAAAACUCUGUUAUUAGGGAAGAACAAAUGUGUAAGUAACUAUGCACGUCUUGACGGUACCUAAUCAGAAAGCCACGGCUAACUACGUG